GAUGAGCUCCAUGGCUUGAGCACCGUGGAUCUGGAAGCACCAUGGUGGAUCUGGCCGCCGGUUGCCCUGCUGCUCGGUUUGGACCAGAUGCGGCGGCGGCUCUGGAUGGGGAUGCGGGUGCGACGCGGAUGCGGAUGAGCGGGGCGUGCGUCGGAAGUGCAGAUGUUUGGAGUUAUCGAUGGGGAUUGGGUGACAGCAUGAGUACGGGAUUCAGGGGCGGCGGUGCUGCGUCGAGGCCUGGAUGGGGGAUGCAAGGGGCAGCGGGUGAUGCAGGGGAUGGGGCCGGUGGUGCUUGGCGGGGCGGCGAGUAUGGAGGUGAGCCGCGACGGCGCUAGGUGCGGCGGCGUCGACGGCGAGAUGUAGUGCGGCGGCGUCGUUGGCGAGAUGUAG
Molecule: ribosomal RNA, 390 nt
Filed under: Triticum aestivum (bread wheat)
Lineage: Eukaryota; Viridiplantae; Streptophyta; Magnoliopsida; Poales; Poaceae
Description: partial small subunit ribosomal RNA
Source: RNAcentral